AACAACUCACCUGCCGAAUGGACUAGCCCUGAAAAUGGAUGGCGCUGAAGCGGGUGGCCGAGACCACACCGUUUGACGAAUUGGCAACUCGUCGAAUGAGUAGGAGGGCGUGGCGGCCGUGGAGAAGCCGGUGGGCAAUCACUGGUGGAACGGCCGCGAGUGCAGAUCUUGGUGGUAGUAGCAAAUAUUCAAGUGAGUGAACAAACCUUGAAGGGUGAAGCGGGGAAGGGUUUUAUGUGAACAUUGAUUGGGCAUAAGUGAGUCGUUCCUAAGCUGCUGGUUUAUUCUCUCGGGAAUUUUUCUGGCGAAAGGGAAGCAGGUUGACAUUCCUGCACACGGAUGUGGAGGCGGUGACGCCGUUUGAGACAAACACGUUGGCGACAGCUCUGGGCAGAGUUAUCUUUUCUGUUUGACGUCAGGGUGCGCUGUGUGGAAUCCGCUUGUCGGGAGAAACACGCGUGCCCGGGCAGAGCGCCGGACUUUUCCGGCGUCCAGAUCGCUGUCGACAGCCCUUGAAACUUUGUCUGCUGAAGUGAACAAUCCACGCCGUGACGUACCGAUAACCGCAUCAGGUCCCCAAGGUGAACAGCCUCUACUCAAUAUGAACAAU
RNAcentral lists this ribosomal RNA (610 nucleotides) under Asparagopsis taxiformis. RNAcentral's name for it is "eukaryotic LSU rRNA". It matches the Rfam family "Eukaryotic large subunit ribosomal RNA", at positions 1284 to 1899 of the family's 3401-position model. The record is from RNAcentral. Lineage: Eukaryota; Rhodophyta; Florideophyceae; Bonnemaisoniales; Bonnemaisoniaceae.